This 252-nucleotide ribosomal RNA is filed under the name uncultured bacterium. RNAcentral's name for it is "partial 16S ribosomal RNA". It matches the Rfam family "Bacterial small subunit ribosomal RNA", at positions 524 to 776 of the family's 1533-position model. The record is from RNAcentral.
UACGGGGGGGCAAGCGUUAAUCGGAAUUACUGGGCGUAAAGCGUGCGCAGGCGGUUUCGUAAGUCUGUCGUGAAAUCCCCGGGCUUAACCUGGGAAUGGCGAUGGAGACUGCGAGGCUAGAGUUUGGCAGAGGGGGGUAGAAUUCCACGUGUAGCAGUGAAAUGCGUAGAGAUGUGGAGGAACACCGAUGGCGAAGGCAGCCCCCUGGGUCAAAACUGACGCUCAUGCACGAAAGCGUGGGGAGCAAACAGG